This 75-nucleotide transfer RNA is filed under the name archaeon. RNAcentral describes it as "tRNA-Lys". It matches the Rfam family "tRNA". From Rfam's summary of the family: Transfer RNA (tRNA) molecules are approximately 80 nucleotides in length. Their secondary structure includes four short double-helical elements and three loops (D, anti-codon, and T loops). RNAcentral also lists the same sequence under 1 other name. The record is from RNAcentral.
GGGUCCGUAGCUCAGCUUGGCUAGAGCAUCUGGCUCUUAACCAGAGGGUCAUGGGUUCAAAUCCCAUCGGAUCCG